GGAAUUUUAUGAUUCGAUUCAAUUUUUUAUUCACACAAUGAAGAUUUCAAUUCUCAAUUCAAAUCUCAAUUUGACAACUAGGAAUAAAAUUAAAACAUAAUUGUCCUCGUUUGGAGGCUCUAGUUCUAACUUCUAACAAAUCUAAUUGUUUCUCCACUGCUUCCUUUGCAAGAUUACAUAUUUUUGAAUUUCAGUGACCAAGAUCUCCUGCAUCCAGCUGGCAAACGCUUCACUAAAUUACACACACAAAGUUUAUGAUAAACUAGUCCAAGCUUAUCCACUUUUACCUUCGAUCAUUAGGUUGGCUGCUAUAACCAUUGUGAUUCAGGUGAGGAAAUAACAAACAGAAAAGAUGAGUUUAUAUUUACAAUCACAAUAAAGUUUAUCUAUUGGGCACUAGUCCCAUAAUUACUGCAUCAAAUCGAAUUCAUAAAUUUUUUUAAUAAAAGAAAUAGAAAACCAUAUGAAUAAU
Molecule: unclassified non-coding RNA, 472 nt
Filed under: Hevea brasiliensis (rubber tree)
Lineage: Eukaryota; Viridiplantae; Streptophyta; Magnoliopsida; Malpighiales; Euphorbiaceae
Source: RNAcentral